This 439-nucleotide ribosomal RNA is filed under the name uncultured bacterium. Its description in RNAcentral is "partial 16S ribosomal RNA". It matches the Rfam family "Bacterial small subunit ribosomal RNA", at positions 338 to 795 of the family's 1533-position model. The record is from RNAcentral.
CCUACGGGUGGCUGCAGUAGGGAAUCUUUCACAAUGGGCGCAAGCCUGAUGGAGCAACGCCGCGUGCAGGAUGAAGGCCUUCGGGUUGUAAACUGCUUUUAUAAGCGAGAAAUAUGAUGGUAACUUAUGACUAAGGAUCGGCUAACUACGUGCCAGCAGCCGCGGUAAUACGGAGGAUGCGGGCGUUAUCCGGAUUUAUUGGGUUUAAAGGGUGCGUAGGCGGGCUGUUAAGUCAGCGGUAAAAGCCCGGGGCUCAACCCCGGCGAGCCGUUGAUACUGGCUGUCUUGAGAUGUCGAGAGGUAUGCGGAAUGCGCAGUGUAGCGGUGAAAUGCUUAGAGAUUGCGCAGAACUCCGAUUGCGAAGGCAGCAUACCGGCGGCGAUCUGACGCUGAGGCACGAAAGCGUGGGUAUCGAACAGGAUUAGAUACCCGGGUAGUC